This 108-nucleotide ribosomal RNA is filed under the name Acinetobacter nosocomialis. Its description in RNAcentral is "partial 16S ribosomal RNA". It matches the Rfam family "Bacterial small subunit ribosomal RNA", at positions 1 to 105 of the family's 1533-position model. Lineage: Bacteria; Pseudomonadati; Pseudomonadota; Gammaproteobacteria; Moraxellales; Moraxellaceae. The record is from RNAcentral.
UUUAACUGAAGAGUUUGAUCAUGGCUCAGAUUGAACGCUGGCGGCAGGCUUAACACAUGCAAGUCGAGCGGGGGAAGGUAGCUUGCUACCGGACCUAGCGGCGGACGG